UGUUUUAUAUUUUUAUUUGCUAAAUCUGGCAACCUUAUUCUCUUGUUAAUUCUUCAGUGCUUGCAGCUUUAUCUUCCUUUCUUUCCCCGUCUUCUAGGGAACACAGAUCCAGUUGUAGGAAGAACAUUCCAUUGUCUUUGUGACAGCAGCAUGUGGCCUCAGCAGUGGAGAGGACACAGAGAGAAGGCAGCACUCUGCAAACCAGGACAAGAGACCUCACCAGGGACAUAUUCAGCUGCCACCUUCAUGUUAGAUCCCUAAACCUCCAGAACCGUGAGAAAUAAACAUGAUU
Molecule: long non-coding RNA, 292 nt
Filed under: Callithrix jacchus (white-tufted-ear marmoset)
Lineage: Eukaryota; Metazoa; Chordata; Mammalia; Primates; Cebidae
Description: lncRNA (ENSCJAG00000078158.1)
Source: RNAcentral